CAGCAGCCGCGGUAAUACGGAGGGUGCGAGCGUUAAUCGGAAUAACUGGGCGUAAAGGGCACGCAGGCGGUGACUUAAGUGAGGUGUGAAAGCCCCGGGCUUAACCUGGGAAUUGCAUUUCAUACUGGGUCGCUAGAGUACUUUAGGGAGGGGUAGAAUUCCACGUGUAGCGGUGAAAUGCGUAGAGAUGUGGAGGAAUACCGAAGGCGAAGGCAGCCCCUUGGGAAUGUACUGACGCUCAUGUGCGAAAGCGUGGGGAGCAAACAGGAUUAGAUACCCCAGUAGUCCCUGUCUCUUAUAC
This 301-nucleotide ribosomal RNA is filed under the name uncultured bacterium. RNAcentral describes it as "partial 16S ribosomal RNA". It matches the Rfam family "Bacterial small subunit ribosomal RNA", at positions 509 to 807 of the family's 1533-position model. The record is from RNAcentral.